AUUUUCAAGGGGUGGGACCCGAGACUUGAACCCAGGUCUUCCAGAGUGGAAAGUCGAAGCGUUUCCACGCGCCAUCCGGCUGAUCUGAAAAUCUAAGUUUUAUAAACAAAACUGUUACAAUAAACUUUACGCUUAUGAAUUAGUUAGCUAAAAACUCGGAAAUGUUCGUAAUUGAUAUAUUAUUCGAUGAAAUCUUUGAUUCAUUUUUUUUUGUAUAAACAAUAUAAAUUUAUACUGUGUUCAAAAUUGACUCAAAAUUGUUUCGUCUCUGGAAAGAUUAGGAGAAUGUUAUCAUUCUGCAAACUUCAACGAUAAAUAUUACUAGGUGAUUGAACUAAUGUCAUGAACUGUACCGAAUCUUUCUUGUGUUAUCUAUAUCCACCUACUUUACUGUAACACUAUAAUUACAGAUAUAUAGAGAUGAAAUUCACAAACUUUGUUUGUUUUAUAAUUUCAUCAUAAGGUUCAUAAAGAUCUUAAGACAUUUUCCGAAGGGCUACAAGGCUGUGCUCUACUAUAAGUUAUUGCUGUGAGGUGUAACUAGGUUUUAAUCAUCGCCAAACUCAGUGGAGACAAAGUCCACCACCAGGUCCAUGAAACAAGGGAGGCCAACCAGCCCGCCAGAUAGAAGCUUCUUCAGCAACAGUGUUGCUGUAGCUGCCGGUAAUAGGUGAAGAAGGUGGCAUAAAAUGCUGCAAACAACUGGUCUCGAAGGAUCAGAAAAAACAACCCACUCGAAAAUAAGGUUCAACGGCGAUGAAUCCUCUCGCUACAGGAGCUCCUGAUAGCUCAACGCGACCGCGACAAAAGCCGACGACCGGCCGAAAGCAGUUACGCGCACUUCUUUCUUGUAACCACUUCCCAACAUUAACUAGGUCUCAGGUAACUUUCACUUCUAGUGAUGAGAAAGAAUCCGCCCGACUUGAGUAUUUCAAGUCGGGCGGAUUGGCUGCGCGGCCGCUUCGGUUUCGACCCCUUCCGGGUUCGAGUCUCGGUCUCACCCCCUUGAAAAUAUUUAUCAUGGGUCCGGGCCCGUCCCGUCGAUCCCUUUCCUCU
This 1056-nucleotide long non-coding RNA is filed under the name Androctonus crassicauda. The record is from RNAcentral. Lineage: Eukaryota; Metazoa; Arthropoda; Arachnida; Scorpiones; Buthidae.